Molecule: long non-coding RNA, 116 nt
Organism: Salarias fasciatus (jewelled blenny)
Lineage: Eukaryota; Metazoa; Chordata; Actinopteri; Blenniiformes; Blenniidae
Exons: 4
Source: RefSeq, a predicted model, not a curated record
UGUUCACCUAUUUGUGUGUUUGUAUAUGCGUGUUAUUGUGUGCGUGCUUUGAGCCGUCUACUGUCCUUGUGUGUGUGUGUGUGUGUGUGUGUGUGCGUGUUGUGUGUGUGUGUGUG